Molecule: regulatory RNA element, 61 nt
Organism: Synechococcus sp. RS9916
Lineage: Bacteria; Bacillati; Cyanobacteriota; Cyanophyceae; Synechococcales; Synechococcaceae
Rfam family: Glutamine-II riboswitch aptamer
About the family: The major groove of the PK provides the binding site for L-glutamine
Source: Rfam
GCACGUUGGGCCCCAUUCCGUGGGCUGCAGAUCGAUCCACGCCAAGCAACGGGGACGUGGA